RNAcentral lists this microRNA (22 nucleotides) under Pristionchus pacificus. RNAcentral's name for it is "ppc-miR-8231-3p". Lineage: Eukaryota; Metazoa; Nematoda; Chromadorea; Rhabditida; Neodiplogasteridae. The record is from miRBase by way of RNAcentral.
UAUUGGAAUGCGGUUCAUGGGC